This 805-nucleotide ribosomal RNA is filed under the name Bacillus sp. Ba-149. RNAcentral describes it as "bacterial SSU rRNA". It matches the Rfam family "Bacterial small subunit ribosomal RNA", at positions 60 to 847 of the family's 1533-position model. Lineage: Bacteria; Bacillati; Bacillota; Bacilli; Caryophanales; Bacillaceae. The record is from RNAcentral.
AGUCGAGCGGACAGAAGGGAGCUUGCUCCCGGAUGUUAGCGGCGGACGGGUGAGUAACACGUGGGUAACCUGCCUGUAAGACUGGGAUAACUCCGGGAAACCGGAGCUAAUACCGGAUAGUUCCUUGAACCGCAUGGUUCAAGGAUGAAAGACGGUUUCGGCUGUCACUUACAGAUGGACCCGCGGCGCAUUAGCUAGUUGGUGAGGUAACGGCUCACCAAGGCGACGAUGCGUAGCCGACCUGAGAGGGUGAUCGGCCACACUGGGACUGAGACACGGCCCAGACUCCUACGGGAGGCAGCAGUAGGGAAUCUUCCGCAAUGGACGAAAGUCUGACGGAGCAACGCCGCGUGAGUGAUGAAGGUUUUCGGAUCGUAAAGCUCUGUUGUUAGGGAAGAACAAGUGCAAGAGUAACUGCUUGCACCUUGACGGUACCUAACCAGAAAGCCACGGCUAACUACGUGCCAGCAGCCGCGGUAAUACGUAGGUGGCAAGCGUUGUCCGGAAUUAUUGGGCGUAAAGGGCUCGCAGGCGGUUUCUUAAGUCUGAUGUGAAAGCCCCCGGCUCAACCGGGGAGGGUCAUUGGAAACUGGGAAACUUGAGUGCAGAAGAGGAGAGUGGAAUUCCACGUGUAGCGGUGAAAUGCGUAGAGAUGUGGAGGAACACCAGUGGCGAAGGCGACUCUCUGGUCUGUAACUGACGCUGAGGAGCGAAAGCGUGGGGAGCGAACAGGAUUAGAUACCCUGGUAGUCCACGCCGUAAACGAUGAGUGCUAAGUGUUAGGGGGUUUCCGCCCCUUAGUGCU